UAUGUGCAAAGCCGACUAGAAUUGAUUUGUUGCUUUUUUGUUUAGGAUAUUAAUGUGACUUUUUAGAAGAAAUAUAUUUGGUAUCUUCCUGAGUUCUCAGCAGAGAAAUCUUUUGGAACUUCCUGAGUGACAGAGAGGAAAGAAUUACAAGAGAACAAGAGAUGCUUCUGUUGCUUGGCUCCCUGUCUUCUAAGGUGCUAUACUCAGCAGCCCACGUGAGCACUGUCACAUACUCAGAAAGAACAGAGCAAGGAGCAGCACUCUACGGCAUCCACUGGUUCAGCACCACAUUGCUGUGGGCUCCACAAACAAAGCAGAAAAGACUAGCAUGGUAACAGGAAGCACAGGAACAUGAUAGGGGUUAAGUGGACAAAGAUCUACAACAUUUUGUAUUAUUUCCCUUUUUAAAAGGGAAAACAAAAAGACUUAAAAUAAAGUUACCCUAUAAUGAGGCAACAAUGUCCCAAUUAGACACUACAAGCCAAUAAAUAAAAAGCCCAGUACCAGGAAGCAGUUACUUUUGGAGUUGCUGACCACUGAGGUCCCACAGAUCCUCAAACAUUACAGGCUAUUGUCAACUUACUGCUUUCUCUCCAGAAUUCUACAGUAAGACCCUGUUGCUGAAGACACCACAUAGUUGAGUCAUACAACAUUUUUGAGAACUCAAGCUGGUGCUGACCUGGAAUCUUCCUACCAACUUGCUAGCUUUCAUAGUGCUGGACAGAGCAAUGCAUACCAGUGAAGGAGAGAGGAAGCAUCAACUUUACCCUGAGAACCCUGUGAGCUACAACUAUCACUGGCCUGGAAAAAUAAGUCCACUGGCGCAAUAGUGGCACAGAUGUCAUCAGAGUAAUCAAACCCUUUCUGGUUGAAUUUUAGUACUGUUCUACAAGAGAAGCCCAUACCUGGCACCAUUAUUGCUCUAAGAACCUGUACACGGGUCAUAACCCCUAGAGGAGAACUUACACCUAUUAUUCUGCUAAAGGACAUAGUGUGAAACCAUCUCCUAAUGACUUCUCCUACCACAGACUGAUGAAUGCCCCCUUUCAGGCUGGGAUGUGGCUCAGUGCUAGAAGGCUUGCUUAACACGCUGGAGGUUCUGGACUCAAUUCUCAGCCCCACCGGGGAAAAACAUCUUCAGAAAGUCAUUGUUACAAUUUUGUUCUCACUGUAAAUAUUUUUGUGUUUAUUGAA
Long non-coding RNA from Meriones unguiculatus (Mongolian gerbil), 1194 nucleotides. RefSeq lists it as uncharacterized. NCBI's taxonomy places the organism in Eukaryota, Metazoa, Chordata, Mammalia, Rodentia, Muridae. The transcript is spliced from 2 exons. The record is from RefSeq and is a predicted model, not a curated record.